This 253-nucleotide ribosomal RNA is filed under the name uncultured bacterium. RNAcentral's name for it is "partial 16S ribosomal RNA". It matches the Rfam family "Bacterial small subunit ribosomal RNA", at positions 524 to 776 of the family's 1533-position model. The record is from RNAcentral.
UACGUAGGUGGCUAGCGUUGUCCGGAUUUACUGGGCGUAAAGAGCGUGUAGGCGGCCAGGCAGGUCCGCUGUGAAAACUCGAGGCUCAACCUCGAGAGGUCGGUGGAAACCGUCUGGCUAGAGUCCGGAAGAGGAGAGUGGAAUUCCCGGUGUAGCGGUGAAAUGCGCAGAUAUCGGGAAGAACACCCGUGGCGAAGGCGGCUCUCUGGGACGGUACUGACGCUGAGACGCGAAAGCGUGGGGAGCGAACAGG